Molecule: ribosomal RNA, 2890 nt
Filed under: Lactococcus garvieae UNIUD074
Lineage: Bacteria; Bacillati; Bacillota; Bacilli; Lactobacillales; Streptococcaceae
Description: bacterial LSU rRNA
Rfam family: Bacterial large subunit ribosomal RNA
Source: RNAcentral
AUAAGGGCGCACGGUGGAUGCCUUGGCAUUAAGAGCCGAAGAAGGACGUGACUAACGACGAUAUUCUAGGGGGAGCAGUAAGUACGCAUUGAUCCCUAGGUCUCCGAAUGGGGAAACCCACUAUGUUAUGCAUAGUAUCCGUAAGUGAAUACAUAGCUUACGCGAAGGUAACGCAGAGAACUGAAACAUCUAAGUACCUGCAGGAAGAGAAAGUAAAAACGAUUUCCUAAGUAGCGGCGAGCGAACGGGAAACAGGCCAAACCAAGAAGCUUGCUUCUUGGGGUUGUAGGACUGCAACGUGGACUUAAAGUCUAUAGAAGAAUUACCUGGGAAGGUAAGCCAAAGAGAGUAAUAGCCUCGUAUUUGAAAUAGACUUUAUACCUAGCAGUAUCCUGAGUAGGGCUGGACACGCGAAAUCCAGUUUGAAUCCGGGAGGACCAUCUCCCAAGCCUAAAUACUCCUUAAUGACCGAGAGUGAACCAGUACCGUGAGGGAAAGGUGAAAAGAACCCCGGGAGGGGAGUGAAAUAGCACCUGAAACCGUGUGCCUACAAGAAGUUCGAGCCCGUCAAUGGGUGAGAGCGUGCCUUUUGUAGAAUGAACCGGCGAGUUACGUUAUGAUGCGAGGUUAAGCUGAAGAGGCGGAGCCGUAGCGAAAGCGAGUCUGAAUAGGGCGCUUUAGUAUCAUGAUGUAGACCCGAAACCUAGUGACCUAUCCAUGAGCAGGUUGAAGGUGCGGUAAGACGCACUGGAGGACCGAACCAGGACACGUUGAAAAGUGUUUGGAUGACUUGUGGAUAGCGGAGAAAUUCCAAACGAACUGGGAGAUAGCUGGUUCUCUCCGAAAUAGCUUUAGGGCUAGCGUCGCAAUUUAAGUGUAUUGGAGGUAGAGCACUGUUUGGAUGAGGGGCCCAUCUCGGGUUACCAAUUUCAGAUAAACUCCGAAUGCUAAUACACAUGUGCGGCAGUCAGACUGCGAGUGCUAAGAUCCGUAGUCGAAAGGGAAACAGCCCAGACCACCAGCUAAGGUCCCAAAAUAUAUGUUAAGUGGAAAAGGAUGUGGGGUUGCACAGACAACUAGGAUGUUAGCUCAGAAGCAGCUAUCAUUCAAAGAGUGCGUAAUAGCUCACUAGUCGAGUGACCCUGCGCCGAAAAUGUACCGGGGCUAAACAUAUUACCGAAGCUGUGGAUUUAAUAUUAAUUAAAUGGUAGGAGAGCGUUGUAAUCAGCGAUGAAGGUAUACCGUGAGGGGUGCUGGAGCGAUUACAAGUGAGAAUGCCGGUAUGAGUAGCGCAAGAUAAGUGAGAAUCUUAUCCACCGUAAGACUAAGGUUUCCAGGGGAAGGCUCGUCCGCCCUGGGUUAGUCGGGACCUAAGGCGAGGCCGAAAGGCGUAGUCGAUGGACAACAGGUUGAUAUUCCUGUACUAGUAUUGUUAGUGAUGGAGGGACGCAGUAGGCUAAAGGGAGCCAGUUAAUGGAUUCUGGUCUAAGCAGUGAGGUGUGGAAUGUGUCAAAUGCAUUUUCCUUUAACAUUGAGCUGUGAUGGGGAAGCAACUACGGUUGCGAAGCCCUUGAUGUCACACUGCCAAGAAAAUCUUCUAGCGUUUAAUUCAAUACUACCCGUACCGCAAACCGACACAGGUAGUCGAGGCGAGUAGCCUCAGGUGAUCGAGAGAACUCUCGUUAAGGAACUCGGCAAAAUGACCCCGUAACUUCGGGAGAAGGGGUGCUGUAGAAAUACAGCCGCAGUGAAAAGAUCCAAGCAACUGUUUAUCAAAAACACAGCUCUCUGCUAAACCGCAAGGUGAUGUAUAGGGGGUGACGCCUGCCCGGUGCUGGAAGGUUAAGAGGAGGGGUUAGACAUUAGUCGAAGCUCUGAAUUGAAGCCCCAGUAAACGGCGGCCGUAACUAUAACGGUCCUAAGGUAGCGAAAUUCCUUGUCGGGUAAGUUCCGACCCGCACGAAAGGCGUAAUGAUUUGGAUACUGUCUCAACGAGAGACUCGGUGAAAUUUUAGUACCUGUGAAGAUGCAGGUUACCCGCGACAGGACGGAAAGACCCCAUGGAGCUUUACUGCAGAUUGAUAUUGAGUACCUGUGAAGCAUGUACAGGAUAGGUAGGAGACUUUGACCUUGGGACGCUAGUUUCAAGUGAGUCGCUGUUGGGAUACUACCCUUGCUUCAUGGUUGCUCUAACCCACACGCAUAAUCGGCGUGGGAGACAGUGUCUGUCGGGCAGUUUGACUGGGGCGGUCGCCUCCUAAAGAGUAACGGAGGCGCCCAAAGGUUCCCUCAACAUGGUUGGAAAUCAUGUGUAGAGUGUAAAGGUAUAAGGGAGCUUGACUGCGAGAGCUACAACUCGAGCAGGUAGGAAACUAGGGCUUAGUGAUCCGGUGGUACCGCAUGGAAGGGCCAUCGCUCAACGGAUAAAAGCUACCCUGGGGAUAACAGGCUUAUCUCCCCCAAGAGUUCACAUCGACGGGGAGGUUUGGCACCUCGAUGUCGGCUCGUCGCAUCCUGGGGCUGUAGUCGGUCCCAAGGGUUGGGCUGUUCGCCCAUUAAAGCGGCACGCGAGCUGGGUUCAGAACGUCGUGAGACAGUUCGGUCCCUAUCCGUCGCGGGCGUAGGAAAUUUGAGAGGAUCUGCCCUUAGUACGAGAGGACCGGGGUGGACUUACCGCUGGUGUACCAGUUGUUCCGCCAGGAGCACCGCUGGGUAGCUAUGUAGGGAAGGGAUAAGCGCUGAAAGCAUCUAAGUGCGAAGCCCACCUCAAGAUGAGAUUUCCCAUUCUUUAUGAAUUAAGAGCCCUGAGAGAUGAUCAGGUUGAUAGGCUGGAAGUGGAAGUCCUGCGAGGGAUGGAGCGGACCAGUACUAAUAGCUCGAGGACUUUACC